Molecule: long non-coding RNA, 442 nt
Filed under: Elaeis guineensis (African oil palm)
Lineage: Eukaryota; Viridiplantae; Streptophyta; Magnoliopsida; Arecales; Arecaceae
Description: long non-coding RNA (EGUI_LNC081729)
Source: RNAcentral
CUUCUUUUUCUUUUUUUCUUUUUUCUUCUACUUCUUCCCGUGGCCUCCCCUAGGUGAAAAAAAAUGAAACAGGGGACUGAAUGGUCCCCUCAUAUGGUUGGCCGAUUGACGAUCGGCCGGCACGAAAAUGGCCGACAGCUGGAGGAGAGCGCACCGCCAUCCCAAGGGACCCAAAUCGGUGGCCGGCGAUGACCACCGACGUCCGAAAAUAAAAAAAAAUUGAAACCUCUCCCACAAUAAAAUUCGAUGAUUUCGAUCACCGACGAGCGUGCACACCGGCACGGAAAGGAAGGGAGAGAAGAGAGGAAGAGAACCAUAUGCUUACCUCGAGCUCUGGCGACCUCUCCGACGAGGAAUUGCGGUGGGCACGGUGAUGGUUUCCCCGAGCGAUUUCCGACAAUCUUCGCCAUUUCGCUCCAGGAUUCUUUGGUAGGAAGAAGGG